This 208-nucleotide ribosomal RNA is filed under the name uncultured bacterium. Its description in RNAcentral is "partial 16S ribosomal RNA". It matches the Rfam family "Bacterial small subunit ribosomal RNA", at positions 568 to 775 of the family's 1533-position model. The record is from RNAcentral.
CGCGCAGGUGGUUUCUUAAGUCUGAUGUGAAAGCCCACGGCUCAACCGUGGAGGGUCAUUGGAAACUGGGAGACUUGAGUGCAGAAGAGGAUAGUGGAAUUCCAAGUGUAGCGGUGAAAUGCGUAGAGAUUUGGAGGAACACCAGUGGCGAAGGCGGAUUGCUGGACAGCAACUGACGGUGAGGCGCGAAAGUGUGGGGAGCAAAACA